AUUGAACGCUGGUGGCAGGCCUAACACAUGCAAGUCGAACGGUAACAGGAAGCAGCUUGCUGCUUCGCUGACGAGUGGCGGACGGGUGAGUAAUGUCUGGGAAGCUGCCUGAUGGAGGGGGAUAACUACUGGAAACGGUAGCUAAUACCGCAUAAUGUCGCAAGACCAAAGAGGGGGACCUUCGGGCCUCUUGCCAUCGGAUGUGCCCAGAUGGGAUUAGCUUGUUGGUGGGGUAACGGCUCACCAAGGCGACGAUCCCUAGCUGGUCUGAGAGGAUGACCAGCCACACUGGAACUGAGACACGGUCCAGACUCCUACGGGAGGCAGCAGUGGGGAAUAUUGCACAAUGGGCGCAAGCCUGAUGCAGCCAUGCCGCGUGUAUGAAGAAGGCCUUCGGGUUGUAAAGUACUUUCAGCGGGGAGGAAGGGAGUAAAGUUAAUACCUUUGCUCAUUGACGUUACCCGCAGAAGAAGCGCCGGCUAACUCCGUGCCAGCAGCCGCGGUAAUACGGAGGGUGCAAGCGUUAAUCGGAAUUACUGGGCGUAAAGCGCACGCAGGCGGUUUGUUAGUCAGAUGUGAAAUCCCCGGGCUCAACCUGGGAACUGCAUCUGAUACUGGCAAGCUUGAGUCUCGUAGAGGGGGGUAGAAUUCCAGGUGUAGCGGUGAAAUGCGUAGAGAUCUGGAGGAAUACCGGUGGCGAAGGCGGCCCCCUGGACGAAGACUGACGCUCAGGUGCGAAAGCGUGGGGAGCAAACAGGAUUAGAUACCCUGGUAGUCCACGCCGUAAACGAUGUCGACUUGGAGGUUGUGCCCUUGAGGCGUGGCUUCCGGAGCUAACGCGUUAAGUCGACCGCCUGGGGAGUACGGCCGCAAGGUUAAAACUCAAAUGAAUUGACGGGGGCCCGCACAAGCGGUGGAGCAUGUGGUUUAAUUCGAUGCAACGCGAAGAACCUUACCUGGUCUUGACAUCCACGGAAGUUUUCAGAGAUGAGAAUGUGCCUUCGGGAACCGUGAGACAGGUGCUGCAUGGCUGUCGUCAGCUCGUGUUAUGAAAUGUUGGGUUAAGUCCCGCAACGAGCGCAACCCUUAUCCUUUGUUGCCAGCGGUCCGGCCGGGAACUCAAAGGAGACUGCCAGUGAUAAACUGGAGGAAGGUGGGGGUGACGUCAAGUCAUCAUGGCCCUUACGACCAGGGCUACACACGUGCUACAAUGGCGCAUACAAAGAGAAGCGACCUCGCGAGAGCAAGCGGACCUCAUAAAGUGCGUCGUAGUCCGGAUUGGAGUCUGCAACUCGACUCCAUGAAGUCGGAAUCGCUAGUAAUCGUGGAUCAGAAUGCCACGGUGAAUACGUUCCCGGGCCU
RNAcentral lists this ribosomal RNA (1362 nucleotides) under uncultured bacterium. RNAcentral's name for it is "bacterial SSU rRNA". It matches the Rfam family "Bacterial small subunit ribosomal RNA", at positions 28 to 1381 of the family's 1533-position model. The record is from RNAcentral.